AUCUACCUAGUAGUACGGAAUAAUUGUUGGAAACGGCAACUAAUACCGUAUACGCCCUACGGGGGAAAAAUUUAUUGCUAUUAGAUGAGCCUAUAUUAGAUUAGCUAGUUGGUGGAGUAAUAGCCUACCAAGGCAAUGAUCUAUAGCUGAUCUGAGAGGAUGAUCAGCCACACUGGAACUGAGAUACGGUCCAGACUCCUACGGGAGGCAGCAGUGGGGAAUAUUGGACAAUGGGCGAAAGCCUGAUCCAGCCAUGCCGCAUGAGUGAAGAAGGCCUUUGGGUUGUAAAGCUCUUUUAGUGAGGAAGAUAAUGACGGUACUCACAGAAGAAGUCCUGGCUAACUCCGUGCCAGCAGCCGCGGUAAUACGGAGAGGGCUAGCGUUAUUCGGAAUUAUUGGGCGUAAAGGGCGCGUAGGCUGGUUAAUAAGUUAAAAGUGAAAUCCCGAGGCUUAACCUUGGAAUUGCUUUUAAAACUAUUAAUCUAGAGAUUGAAAGAGGAUAGAGGAAUUCCUGAUGUAGAGGUAAAAUUCGUAAAUAUUAGGAGGAACACCAGUG
This 556-nucleotide ribosomal RNA is filed under the name Wolbachia endosymbiont of Aedes albopictus. RNAcentral's name for it is "bacterial SSU rRNA". It matches the Rfam family "Bacterial small subunit ribosomal RNA", at positions 124 to 714 of the family's 1533-position model. Lineage: Bacteria; Pseudomonadati; Pseudomonadota; Alphaproteobacteria; Rickettsiales; Anaplasmataceae. The record is from RNAcentral.